Molecule: ribosomal RNA, 498 nt
Filed under: uncultured bacterium
Lineage: Bacteria
Description: partial 16S ribosomal RNA
Rfam family: Bacterial small subunit ribosomal RNA
Source: RNAcentral
AUUGAACGCUGGCGGCAUGCCUUACACAUGCAAGUCGAACGGUAACGCGGGGCAACCUGGCGACGAGUGGCGAACGGGUGAGUAAAGCAUCGGAACGUGCCCAGUAGUGGGGGAUAGCCCGGCGAAAGCCGGAUUAAUACCGCAUACGACCUACGGGUGAAAGAGGGGGAUCGCAAGACCUCUCGCUAUUGGAGCGGCCGAUGUCAGAUUAGGUAGUUGGUGGGGUAAAGGCCUACCAAGCCUGCGAUCUGUAGCUGGUCUGAGAGGACGACCAGCCACACUGGGACUGAGACACGGCCCAGACUCCUACGGGAGGCAGCAGUGGGGAAUUUUGGACAAUGGGCGCAAGCCUGAUCCAGCCAUGCCGCGUGCGGGAAGAAGGCCUUCGGGUUGUAAACCGCUUUUGUCAGGGAAGAAAAGCCUUGGGUUAAUACCCUGGGGUGAUGACGGUACCUGAAGAAUAAGCACCGGCUAACUACGUGCCAGCAGCCGCCGCGG